Molecule: ribosomal RNA, 253 nt
Filed under: uncultured bacterium
Lineage: Bacteria
Description: partial 16S ribosomal RNA
Rfam family: Bacterial small subunit ribosomal RNA
Source: RNAcentral
UACGUAGGUGGCGAGCGUUGUCCGGAUUUAUUGGGUUUAAAGGGUGCGUAGGCGGCUAUUUAAGUCAGUGGUGAAAUACGGCAGCUUAACUGUCGAGGUGCCAUUGAUACUGGGUAGCUAGAGUACUGAUGAGGUAGGCGGAAUGGACGGUGUAGCGGUGAAAUGCUUAGAGAUCGUCCAGAACACCGAUAGCGAAGGCAGCUUACUAAGGAGUAACUGACGCUGAGGCACGAAAGUGUGGGGAUCAAACAGG